This 329-nucleotide unclassified non-coding RNA is filed under the name soil metagenome. Its description in RNAcentral is "partial contains 5.8S ribosomal RNA, internal transcribed spacer 2, and large subunit ribosomal RNA". The stretch from base 1 to 120 matches the Rfam family "5.8S ribosomal RNA", at positions 35 to 154 of the family's 154-position model. The record is from RNAcentral.
GAUGAAGGACGUAGCGAAAUGCGAUAAGUAAUGUGAAUUGCAGAAUUCAGUGAAUCAUCGAAUCUUUGAACGCACAUUGCGCCCCUUGGUAUUCCGAGGGGCAUGCCUGUUCGAGCGUCAUUAUAACCCCUCAAGCUCAGCUUGGUGUUGGGGCCUGCUGCACUGGCAGCCCUUAAAAUCAGUGGCGGCGCCAUCUGGCUCUAAGCGUAGUAAUUCUUCUCGCUAUGGAGUCCUGGUGGAUGCUUGCCAUCAACCCCCAAUUUUUCUAUGGUUGACCUCGGAUCAGGUAGGGAUACCCGCUGAACUUAAGCAUAUCAAUAAGCGGAGGA